Neodiprion virginianus is the source of this 370-nucleotide long non-coding RNA. RefSeq lists it as uncharacterized. The transcript is spliced from 3 exons. The record is from RefSeq and is a predicted model, not a curated record. Lineage: Eukaryota; Metazoa; Arthropoda; Insecta; Hymenoptera; Diprionidae.
GGAGAUCUUCGGAUUCUAUAAACAACAUCAUUUAUCCGGUUAACCACUAAGAAUAGGGCCUUUCUCUAAAUCUGACGGAAGUCGAAGAUUUCUUCCAGUAAGUAUGAUGGCUGGCGUCUGCUUCGUCGUCUCGUGAAUCGCAGAUCUGUAAGAUAAGAGGAAGAAAGGGAUCCAGGAGUCCCAGUCUCUCUGAUUCUGCUCUACGAAGGACGACAAAUACUGUAGCAAGAAUGGGUUAUCGGGAGAGGUCCGAGAAUGUCCAUCGCUAUCCUUUCAAAUGGAGCUUCCACGUUGUAAAUUUGAAGAGAGCUUUGUCCCUUCGCUCGAGGUCCUUUCUUUGCCGUGCAGAUUCGACAUCUUCGACACCAAU